Molecule: long non-coding RNA, 1040 nt
Filed under: Piliocolobus tephrosceles (Ugandan red Colobus)
Lineage: Eukaryota; Metazoa; Chordata; Mammalia; Primates; Cercopithecidae
Description: lncRNA (ENSPTEG00000011518.1)
Source: RNAcentral
GCCCAAUGCAUGUAGUAACUUAUAGAUAUAUUUAGAAAACUGAUUAUCUUUUAAAAUACGACUACAGACUAAAAUGCAGAGUUCAUUAAAAUACAGAUGAUGACUGUGGUUCUCUGGUCUUCUCUUGACUCCUGUUGUCUACUAAGAUAAGAAGUCUGGGCUAGGCUGAAGAACUCAGAAUCCAGGUAUGGGGUUUCCCAGUACUGUACUCCCAUUUCUCAGUACUGUGCUCCAUCUCUCAGUACUGUGUGCUCCUGUUUCCCAGUACUGUGCUCCCAUUUCCCAGUACUGUGCUCCCAUUGCCCAACACUGUGCUCCCAUUUCCCAAUACUAUACUCCCAUUCCCUGGUACUGUGUGCUCCCAUUUCCCAGUACUGUGCUCCCAUUGCCCAACACUGUGCUCCCAUUUCCCAGUACUGUGUGCUCCAUUUCCCAGUACUAUGCUCCCAUUUCCCAGUACUGUGCUCCCAUUUCCCAGUACUGUGUGCUCCCAUUUCCCAGUAGUCUGCACUCCCAUUUCCCAGUACUGUGUGCUCUCAUUUCCCAGCACCGUGCUCCCAUUUCCCAGUACUAUGCUCCCAUUUCCCAAUACUGUGUGGUCCAAUUUCCCAGUACUGUGUGCUACCAUUUCCCAAUACUGUGUGCUCCCAUUUCGCAGCACUGUGCUCCCAUUUCCCUGUACUGUGUGCUCCCAUUUCCUAGGACUAUGCUCCCAUUUCUCACUACUGUGCUCCCAUUUCUCAGCACUGAGCUCCCAUUUCGCAGUACUGUGUGCUCUCAUUUCCUAGGACUGUGCUCCCAUUUCUCAGCACUGUGGUCCCAUUUCUCAGUACUGUGCCCACAGGUGUGAUCCAACGUCCCUGGCCCAUCAGCUCUUCUUGAGCAGCAAGAGGCCCUGCAGCUGGCUGGCUGGCUGGACAGCACAGUUAAGCAGGUGGCCGCAUCCUCUGCAGUUGCUGGCAGCCCACCAUCCUGGAGAUGUAACCCCUCCUGCCAGGCUUGUUCUUCUUUGGUUGUGAUGAAGAUGAUGACAGUGAUGG